AGCUAUCAUUGCCUUUUCAUCGUCGGUGAAUAGACUAAUUUCUACUACCAUUGUAAAGUUGACGAUCAAUUAGUUUUUUAAGCGAGCCGAAAGAAAACGUUAUUUACCGUAAUAAAGUUAAAAGUAUAUAUGGCAGAAUAGCAUCUCUUACUAACUAUUAAGGCAGAAUUACCGAAUAAAAGAAGUUUUAUGUAUCGGAAGGGAAACUAUGCUGGGAAUUCCGAUGAAACCAUUAAAAGGCAUUCGGUGAAUGACUUACGCACUUGAUGACGGUAACACAAUGGUCAUUGAUUGCAACAGACUUCAACUAUAAUCCAAUGGAUUUUUGUUGCUAAGGCUAAUAGAUGUCAGGAUGUCUUGACCCGAAACUUUUGCCAUUCGAUUUAAUGCUUUUUUUUUGUUUUUUUUUUAAUAAUAAUAAAAUAUUUCAAGUUAUGUGGCACAUUUAUCGGAUUUUAAACAUUCAAAUUUUAAGCGAUAUUUUGCAUUAUCUAGUAACCUACCACUCUAACAAGUGGCUAUAUCAGUCUGGAGAGAAACGUGCAUUACAUAAGCAUGCAGCGAUAGAUGAACCGUACUGAAAAAGUUGCUCAUAAACUUGUUAAGAUGGAAUAAAUAUUCAAGGAAUUACUGUGUUACUCAGCAUACAGAAAAUAACCCGUUUUCUUUCUUAAAUUAAGUAAAAAAACAUCGACAAGCAAC
This 702-nucleotide long non-coding RNA is filed under the name Androctonus crassicauda. The record is from RNAcentral. Lineage: Eukaryota; Metazoa; Arthropoda; Arachnida; Scorpiones; Buthidae.